This 74-nucleotide transfer RNA is filed under the name Desulfobacca acetoxidans. RNAcentral's name for it is "tRNA-Gln". It matches the Rfam family "tRNA". Rfam says of the family: Transfer RNA (tRNA) molecules are approximately 80 nucleotides in length. Their secondary structure includes four short double-helical elements and three loops (D, anti-codon, and T loops). RNAcentral also lists the same sequence under 6 other names. Lineage: Bacteria; Pseudomonadati; Thermodesulfobacteriota; Desulfobaccia; Desulfobaccales; Desulfobaccaceae. The record is from RNAcentral.
UGGGGGAUCGUCCAACGGCAGGACAGCAGACUCUGGAUCUGCCUAUCUAGGUUCGAAUCCUAGUCCCCCAGCCA